GACGAACCGAGCGACCGUUGUUCGGAAUCACUGGGCUUAAAGGGCGCGUAGGCGGGCCGCCAAGUUCGAGGUGAAAUCCUCCGGCUCAACCGGAGAACUGCCUCGAAUACUGGAGGCCUCGAGGCGGGUAGGGGCGUGCGGAACUGUGGGUGGAGCGGUGAAAUGCGUUGAUAUCCACAGGAACUCCGGUGGCGAAGGCGGCACGCUGGACCCGAUCUGACGCUGAGGCGCGAAAGCCAGGGGAGCAAACGGG
Molecule: ribosomal RNA, 253 nt
Filed under: uncultured bacterium
Lineage: Bacteria
Description: partial 16S ribosomal RNA
Rfam family: Bacterial small subunit ribosomal RNA
Source: RNAcentral